AGACUUUGAUCAUGGCUCAGAACGAACGCUGGCGGCAGGCCUAACACAUGCAAGUCGAGCGCAUCCUUCGGGGUGAGCGGCGGACGGGUGAGUAUCGCGUGGGAACGUGCCCUUCUCUACGGAAUAGUCUCGGGAAACUGGGGGUAAUACCGUAUACGCCCUUUUGGGGAAAGAUUUAUCGGAGAAGGAUCGGCCCGCGUUGGAUUAGGUAGUUGGUGGGGUAAUGGCUCACCAAGCCGACGAUCCAUAGCUGGUUUAAGAGGAUGAUCAGCCACACAGGGACUGAGACACGGCCCAGACUCCUACGGGAGGCAGCAGUGGGGAAUAUUGGACAAUGGGGGAAACCCUGAUCCAGCCAUGCCGCGUGAGUGAAGAAGGCCUUAGGGUUGUAAAGCUCUUUCGGUGGUGACGAUGAUGACGGUAGCCACAGAAGAAGCCCCGGCUAACUCCGUGCCGGCAGCCCGCGGUAAUACGGAGGGGGCCAAGCGUUG
Molecule: ribosomal RNA, 491 nt
Filed under: uncultured bacterium
Lineage: Bacteria
Description: bacterial SSU rRNA
Rfam family: Bacterial small subunit ribosomal RNA
Source: RNAcentral